Molecule: unclassified non-coding RNA, 100 nt
Organism: Gorilla gorilla gorilla (western lowland gorilla)
Lineage: Eukaryota; Metazoa; Chordata; Mammalia; Primates; Hominidae
Rfam family: Y RNA
About the family: Y RNAs are components of the Ro ribonucleoprotein particle (Ro RNP), in association with Ro60 and La proteins. The Y RNAs and Ro60 and La proteins are well conserved, but the function of the Ro RNP is not known.
Source: Ensembl
GGCUGGUCCAAGUGCAGUGAUAUUUACAACAAAUUGAUCACAAGUUAACAGAUUUAUUUGUUCCUCUUCCACUCCUACUAUUUCACUUGACUAGCCUUAA